UCAGGAUUGUGGUGUAACAGCAGCAUCUCUCCCUGUGAAGGAGACGGUCCGGGUGCGAAUCCCGGCUUCCUGACCC
Molecule: transfer RNA, 76 nt
Filed under: Verrucomicrobiota bacterium
Lineage: Bacteria; Pseudomonadati; Verrucomicrobiota
Description: tRNA-His
Rfam family: tRNA
About the family: Transfer RNA (tRNA) molecules are approximately 80 nucleotides in length. Their secondary structure includes four short double-helical elements and three loops (D, anti-codon, and T loops). Further hydrogen bonds mediate the characteristic L-shaped molecular structure. tRNAs have two regions of fundamental functional importance: the anti-codon, which is responsible for specific mRNA codon recognition, and the 3' end, to which the tRNAs corresponding amino acid is attached (by aminoacyl-tRNA synthetases). tRNAs cope with the degeneracy of the genetic code in two manners: having more than one tRNA (with a specific anti-codon) for a particular amino acid; and 'wobble' base-pairing, i.e. permitting non-standard base-pairing at the 3rd anti-codon position.
Source: RNAcentral